RNAcentral lists this ribosomal RNA (1185 nucleotides) under Triticum aestivum (bread wheat). Its description in RNAcentral is "partial small subunit ribosomal RNA". The record is from RNAcentral. Lineage: Eukaryota; Viridiplantae; Streptophyta; Magnoliopsida; Poales; Poaceae.
AUGAAGCCGCUGUACCUGCGGAGCAGCGGCAGCUUCAAGAGGCUGCUGCUCUCCCUCUCGCCCCACCGCGCCAAGCGCGUCCACGCGCCCCCCGACGUAGAGCACCCGAGCGCGCAGGCGGAGGCAGCGUCGCCGCCGCACGAACGGAAUCCCGAGUGGGAGUGCUUCUCGUACGAGGAGGUCCGGCGCGCCACGGGCGGCUUCCGCGCGGCCAACCUGGUGGGCCGGGGCGGGUCGUCGGAGGUGUACCGCGGCGAGCUGGCGGACGGGCGCGCCGUGGCGGUGAAGCGGCUCAUGGGCGCGUCCGCCUGCGAGCGCCGGGAGCGGGACUUCCUGGCGGAGCUCGGCACCGUGGGCCACGCCACGCACCCCAACGUGUGCCCGCUCCUGGGAUGCUGCGUCGACCGCGACCUGUACCUCGUCUUCGCCUUCUCCGCCCGCGGCUCCGUCUCCGCAAACCUCCACGACGGCGAGGAGGGGGCACCGGCGAUGGGGUGGGAGGCGCGGUACGGCGUGGCGGUGGGCACGGCGAGGGGGCUGGAGUACCUGCACAAGGGGUGCCGGCGGCGGAUCAUCCACAGGGACAUCAAGGCCUCCAACGUGCUGCUCACCGACGACUUCCAGCCGCAGAUCUCCGACUUCGGGCUGGCCAAGUGGCUGCCGACAGAGUGGACGCACCGGGCGAUCGCGCCGAUCGAGGGCACCUUCGGGUGCCUGGCGCCCGAGUACUACACGCGCGGCAUCGUGGACGAGAAGACGGACGUGUUCGCCUUCGGCGUCUUCCUGCUGGAGCUCAUGGCCGGCCGGAAGCCGGUGGACGGCACCCACAGGAGCCUCCUCGGCUGGGCGAGGCCUUUGCUCAACGAGGGCAAGACGGAGGCGCUGCUGGAUCCGAGGAUCGUCGCCGGCAAUGGCGGCUACGACGCCGAGCAGGCCCGGCGGCUGGCGUUCGUGGCGUCGCUGUGCGUUCGCGCGUCGGCGACGUGGAGGCCGUCCAUGACCGAGGUUCUGGAGCUGCUGGAGGGCGUGGAGAUCAAGGAGGAGCGGUGGGCGAUGCCGGAGCCGGCGGCCGGGGACGACGAGGGGGAGGAAAUGUGGGGCUUCGACGACCUCGACGACGACGACGAAGACGAGGAAUCCGGCACGCCGUCCCCUUUGUCAACGUCCUCAGCCUCGAGCGCUUAG